This 74-nucleotide transfer RNA is filed under the name Buchnera aphidicola (Uroleucon sonchi). RNAcentral's name for it is "tRNA-Arg". It matches the Rfam family "tRNA". From Rfam's summary of the family: Transfer RNA (tRNA) molecules are approximately 80 nucleotides in length. Their secondary structure includes four short double-helical elements and three loops (D, anti-codon, and T loops). Further hydrogen bonds mediate the characteristic L-shaped molecular structure. tRNAs have two regions of fundamental functional importance: the anti-codon, which is responsible for specific mRNA codon recognition, and the 3' end, to which the tRNAs corresponding amino acid is attached (by aminoacyl-tRNA synthetases). tRNAs cope with the degeneracy of the genetic code in two manners: having more than one tRNA (with a specific anti-codon) for a particular amino acid; and 'wobble' base-pairing, i.e. permitting non-standard base-pairing at the 3rd anti-codon position. Lineage: Bacteria; Pseudomonadati; Pseudomonadota; Gammaproteobacteria; Enterobacterales; Erwiniaceae. RNAcentral also lists the same sequence under 1 other name. The record is from RNAcentral.
GCGUUCUUAGCUUAGCUGGAUAGAGCAACGGCCUUCUAAGCCGUAGGUCACAGGUUCGAAUCCUGUAGAACGCA